GCACUGAGCACCGAAACCUGCCAAAACCCUUUCAGAACAAGUACCCAUGAGUGCGUGAAGGUGCAAGAAGCUCUGGGCAUAUGCUGUCCAUCAGGGGCUGCUGGUGCUUCUGAAAUGGCACCCAGAUGCCGUUUGGCAUUAAAAUAACCCUGACUUUUUUUGUGGAGAGCCAAAAAUAACACCGUUUGAUGUUCCCUGUGGAUGGCUGGCUCCCAGGUGCCAAUUACCAGCUCAUGGCUAAUACUUUGAAGUUUUGCUAACCUUAGGGGGGUGGAUCAGGCUGCAGGAGUCAGGACGAGGGACAGCCCUGGCACAGGUCACCCAGCCAAAUGCUGGUGCAUCCCCUCAGGAAAGAGGCCAGUGUUUAUACAGCCUGCAGCAUCGCUCUGGUUGGGAGGAAAGUGCUAUCAUCAUUGGCUGAAAGAAAAGCUGCCUUCUUCUUUUUAGCAGCUGGUGUGAUUUCAGAGAGACGGGGUCUACAAAUUCAUCUACCAUCACAGGAUUUAGUCCUUAAUCGAGACAGAACAGAAAUGACAAAUCCAUUACAAAACCCUUCCUGAAAGAGCCUGUCCAUGGUCUGUUUUCCUGGAAUAUUGCAUGAGAUGCCUCAGUGAAGUGCCUGAAGUCACAAGGAAGGGAGCUAGAACAUCAAUCUGCAUCUGUUGUCUCCUGCGGAGUUGUCAUCACUCAUCUUGUCUGAACUAACAGGUAAGGGACAGCAUGACCCG
This 728-nucleotide long non-coding RNA is filed under the name Anser brachyrhynchus (Pink-footed goose). RNAcentral describes it as "lncRNA (ENSABRG00000022079.1)". The record is from RNAcentral. Lineage: Eukaryota; Metazoa; Chordata; Aves; Anseriformes; Anatidae.